GCCGUCGUAGCUCAGCCUGGGAGAGCACUCGGCUGAAGACCGAGCUGUCGUGAGCUCAAAUCUCACCGACGGCA
Molecule: transfer RNA, 74 nt
Filed under: Candidatus Nitrososphaera gargensis Ga9.2
Lineage: Archaea; Thermoproteati; Nitrososphaerota; Nitrososphaeria; Nitrososphaerales; Nitrososphaeraceae
Also listed under: 7 other names
Description: tRNA-Phe (GAA) (tRNA-Phe-GAA-1-1)
Rfam family: tRNA
About the family: Transfer RNA (tRNA) molecules are approximately 80 nucleotides in length.
Source: RNAcentral